GCUUUCAUAGCUCAGUUGGUUAGAGCAUCGGACUAAUAACCCGAAGGCCCCAGGUUCGAGCCCUGGUGAAAGCA
Nematocida parisii ERTm3 is the source of this 74-nucleotide transfer RNA. It matches the Rfam family "tRNA". Rfam says of the family: Transfer RNA (tRNA) molecules are approximately 80 nucleotides in length. Their secondary structure includes four short double-helical elements and three loops (D, anti-codon, and T loops). The record is from Rfam. Lineage: Eukaryota; Fungi; Microsporidia.